This 27-nucleotide non-coding RNA is filed under the name Rattus norvegicus (Norway rat). The record is from RNAcentral. Lineage: Eukaryota; Metazoa; Chordata; Mammalia; Rodentia; Muridae.
UUACAAGCUGUGUGACAUGCGGACAGG